GCGCCGGGCGGUGGAACAGUGGCUGGGCGGCUGGGCUGCGGCACCUGCAGCGCUUCCUCAGCGGAAAUGCGGUGGAAAAUAGCGACACUGCAGUUCCAGGUGGGCUAGGGGCGUAGCAGACGGGAAGGGUGUUCACUGACGAGGAGUCCCUCGCAAAUCGUCCUCAGCCUCACACAGAGACAUCCGUCGGGCCUGCAGAAGCCAUCAGGCCGCCGUGCUGGAAGCUCCUCAAAUUCGCCUGUAGCUUAAGUCCAAGGGUGGUUAUAAAACCCAACUGUCAGGACAAGUUUGUUUUUUCGACAAUAUUCCAGCUCUGCCAGGCUGUAAACAAUGACUUUGCCUUAGAAGCGGCGGUUGAAUAGGACGCCUUUGCAAGAGCCGUUUGAGUUGCAUUGCCAAGUCCGAGCUUUUGAAGCUCCUCAGAAGUUGACUUGAAUUGCAGCCCGAACCGUAUCUUUUCCACAAAGGCUGGACACGUUUCAGGAAUCUGGUGCUUCCUUGGAGAAUGUUUUCCUCUCCCUGAACUGGAAACAGCUCUCCAUGCUCUACCCCUCUUUGUUUGUUCCCAUUAGUUGACACUGGCCUUGUCUGUGUCCCACAGAGCCCACCCUGUGUGUUGCAAGCCCACCAUGGGGCAGUAGCCAAAGUCACACAUAUCCUCUCUUCUGAUUACAACUCGAUGCCUCACCAGGACUUCCACUGGGACAUUUCGGAAGGAGGCUCUGGUUCCGGGUCUGCCCUGCAUUUGCCUUUUUGGGGCACCUGCUGCUAGGUUUGGUGCCUUCUGUGCCCCACAGCACCAUACAUUCUACCUCCAAGAGAACCCCCAUUUUAUUAUUUUUUUUUUUUUNCCCCACCAGGCUAGGAGCUCCUUAGACCACUGACCUUCUGUUGUUUCUCUGUGGGCACUGUCCUGGCACUUAGAAGAUGGUUGUGGAAUGAAUAAGUCCCUUUAGUAGGAAGGAAAGCUUUCCAAUGGUGAGGAUCCUUGGUCUGUGGUGGACCCCAGAGAACAGGUCAGACAGCAAGAUAAACCCAGAUAAAGUGUGAGGCGUCGGAAAUAAGUGGCUAGCAUUUUCUUAAUUAGAUCUUUUAUACACUGAAGUCACUCAGGCUAGGUUUUGAGCCAAAUAACUGAAAAUUACUGCUUGUCACAUCUCUCAGCCUUUCUUCCUCACCUCUAACCCACGCUUAUGUAGAUAUAAAUUACCCUGGGAAUUCUGGAACUGUUAAAUUAUUUAGAAUUUAUUUAUAUUCAAUUAAGUGUUUGUCAUCUUUAGCAACCCGCCCCUUUCUCCACUUAUUUCCAUGCAGAAUCAAUAAUGGGUACCACAGAGAUAUUAAUAUUGGGGGUAGAGUUUUAGUGAUCAUAGCUGCCUAAGUAUGAGUUUUUAUUUUUCAAAGGAAGGACUUUCUGCUCAACCUCAUCUCUGACAGUUGUUCAGUUAUAGGUGCUUUUAAAUUUUCAUUUCGAUAGUCAAAUGUGUGUUCCCUUUUCCUGCAAGGUUGUAUGCCUAUUUAACAAUGCCAUCUGGCAUUUCUCAACACAUUUUCAGACAUGUUUUAGGCCAUAAGGAAAGCAGACUUGCUUCUUGAUAGUAACACCUCAAAUACCCUGGAAUUCUGAAGGUAAGAGGAGUGGGCAUGCCAAACACAGCAUUAGAGUCCCCACUUCUCCUUCAGAUUUCUUAAAUUUGAAGCAAACUUCAAAUUUCAAUGUGAGCGAACUCAAAGUUCUCAGUUUUCUGAAACAAAAGGAACAUGAUUUAUUGACCUUAUUUAACCAGAGGAAACACAUGGUGCCAUUUAAUACUAAGUCCAGAUUUGGAUCACAUUUUGAGAGUGAGCAAUGUCUCUGACUAAACUAAGCAUCUCCUGCCGGAAAGGAGUCAUGCAAAGCUCAGUUUGCUCAACUGAGAGCAGAGCGGGCCAAAGUUUAAAAUUAUAUUCCCUGGGUUUCUACAGGUUAUUAAAAUAUUUGGCUAAAUGGCUGAAUACACUUAACUGAAAGUCACAAUAUUUUCAGAUACAACAUUUGGAAUUGAACUAAUUGUUCUUCUUUGGCUUCUCAAAUGGCUAGCACAGUCCUCUCAGAUACCCUUGGCAAUGGGCUAUGGACUUUGCAAAUCACAGACUAAUGGGGCACCAUUUCCAGGAAUGUUCAUUUUGCUAAGUGCCCUUUAACCUAAAAUGUCUUACAUUAAACAAACUACAUUAUGAAGAGAAUGUAAUAUUUGUACAGGUUUUGUUUGUUUGUUUUAAGAUAAAACAGGACAUUUUAAAGAAAAUUUUGCUCGCAGUGCUGGCAUCAUCUCUCCAAUUGCCUGAGGAUAUGUGUUCACUUUCCUUUUCCUUGAGAUUGGGAGAAUUUAAGAUGCUCUAACCUAAUAUGUUGAUCUCAGUCAGAGCUCACUAAAUGACUUCAAGAAAAGCUAGCCAGCCUUGAUAUUGGCUGUGUUUUGGUCUUUAUCAUUCUCCCUUUCUCCAUCUCCUAGGUAUGCUAACAACAAAAGGAGCUCAUCUAAAGCUCGUAGGACUUUGAGGACUAAGAGAAUAGUGCCAAACUAUUAUGAACUCUCCUUCCUUUCUUUCUCUCUCCCUCUCUCUUUUCUUUCUUCUCUUUUUCUUUUUCUCUUUCUUUCUUUUUUCCAACUGUCUGUAAAUGCCUAAGUAUUGUGCAUGAGGCUCAUGGUUUCAGACCAGGCUGGUUAUCUCAUAUUGGAUGUCCCUUUCCUGAGGGCACCAAUUCCCACAUAUGCACACUAGCUUUUCUUAUUCAGCAUCCUUACCCCUGACUCAGAGCUGUUCACAUAACUCUAAUCUCUCUACAGCACCUCUGGUUUCUCCUCCCAGCUUCUUUCUAUGAACUUCCAGCUGCUUCUUCUGCUGUUCUAUAAGGACAAGAGGUGAAAGCAUGAGGUUUUUUUCUGCUAAAAUUUGAUAUGCCAUUUCUGCAUUUCCUGAGUUGGCUAGAGGUAAAUAUAGUUCAUGAUGCCAUUUAAUAUAAUUUUUAAGCCCUUGUAUUUUCUUUAAUCUUUUUCAAUUAUUUCAACUACUCCUCCAGUUUUUGUACAAAGCUUGAUAAGACUAAGAGAAACUUUCUAUAAUAAAAAAAAUAGGACCAUGCUGUAAAAUUACUUAGAAUAGGAAUAGAGAUGAUAGUCUGAAUGAUGGAUAUAUUCUAAAGAUACUGUUAAAAACCUAACAACUGAUCCCACUCUCCCCAACAUAAGACAGAAGAAGGAUAGGAAGGAAAUAAGCAGGCCACUGGGAGAGAAAAGAAAGAUACUUACUUAACAGACUUCUCAUUAUACUUUAGAGAAUCAAAAGGCAGUGUCCAGGAAGAAAGCAGGACAGAGUGGAGAGACUCCUCUUUGGACAGAUUUAUGGUCCUCUCAUCCACUGAAGAUGUUAUUUAUGAGGGACAUGUAGUCAGGCCAGAAGAGAGUACAGAGGAUGCAUGACCAUGGACUUGACUCCAAACCUCAUCAUUAACUAUGGCACAAAUCAUGUUUCCCAUCCAAGUACACAGUAACUUAAUGCCGGGUCUUCAGGAGGUGUGCAAUUAAGUCGUACUGGCACUAGGCAGGAGUUUUAAAUUAAACAGACAUGAUGUAUAUUAAUGGCCUAAUGUGACAACAAAGGAGCAGUUUGGGAUUAUUUUCUUUCUCUCUCCAAAUGGGCUUUGAUCUGCGUGCUCUCUCAUGUUGCCAGGAUUAGUGUGCUGUCUAGAGGCUCAGGGUUAGAAAUGGACCGCCACUUAAGGACUCACUGUGUGGCUGUGGCUGCCACUCACUAAAUCCUAUUUCCUGUGUAGGGGUGGGACCAUCAUCAGUUCUACUUACAAUAAAGCAAACUCGGGAAGGCUUAAAAAAAAAAAUUUUUUUUUUUUUAAAGAGCGUGUUUCUGGAGUUCCUGUGUGGUGCAGCAGGUUAAAGAUCCUGCAUUGUCACCACUGUGGCUCAGAUUUGAUACCUGGCCUGGGAACUUCCGCAUACUGCAGGUGUGGCCGAAAAAAAAAAAAAAGACUGCGCUUCUAUUUUAUUUUAUGACUCCACUAUUUUUCAAACAUGUUAACAUGUAAGAAAUAAAAAUUGGAAUUAAUCUGUAUAAAAUCUAAUACUUGAAGAUGGCAUAGGUGCAGUAUAUCAAUAAAGUACAGAGACAAAAUACAGCUAUUUGGACUUCCCUUGUGGCUCACAGCAAAAUAUAGCCAUUUGAUUUAAAAAAAAACAAAACUGUCC
This 4244-nucleotide long non-coding RNA is filed under the name Sus scrofa (pig). RNAcentral describes it as "lncRNA (ENSSSCG00050049699.1)". Lineage: Eukaryota; Metazoa; Chordata; Mammalia; Artiodactyla; Suidae. The record is from RNAcentral.